CCUACGGGAGGCAGCAGUGAGGAAUAUUGGUCAAUGGGCGGGAGCCUGAACCAGCCAAGUCGCGUGAGGGAAGACGGUCCUAUGGAUUGUAAACCUCUUUAGGCGGGGAGCAAUGCCGGGCACGCGUGCCCGGAGGGAGAGUACCCGCAGAAUAGGCAUGGGCUAACUACGUGCCAGCAGCCGCGGUAAUCCGUAGGGGGCAAGCGUUAUCCGGAUUUACGGGGUGUAAAGGGGGCGCAGACGGCAGCGUAAGCCAGGAGUGAAAGCCCGGGGCCCAACCCCGGGACUGCUGUUGAUACUGGGCGGCUUGAGUGCAGGAGGGGUAGGCGGAAUUCCUGGUGUAGCGGUGAAAUGCGUAGAUAUUAGGAGGAACACCGGUGGCGAAGGCGGCUUACUGGACUGUAACUGACGUUGAGGCUCGAAAGCGUGGGGAGCAAACAGGAUUAGAUACCCGAGUAGUC
RNAcentral lists this ribosomal RNA (461 nucleotides) under uncultured bacterium. RNAcentral describes it as "partial 16S ribosomal RNA". It matches the Rfam family "Bacterial small subunit ribosomal RNA", at positions 338 to 795 of the family's 1533-position model. The record is from RNAcentral.